GAUUGAACGCUGGCGGCAUGCUUUACACAUGCAAGUCGAACGGCAGCACGGGGGCAACCCUGGUGGCGAGUGGCGAACGGGUGAGUAAUGCAUCGGAACGUGUCUUCGAGUGGGGGAUAACGCACCGAAAGGUGUGCUAAUACCGCAUAAUCUCUACGGAGAAAAGCAGGGGACCGCAAGACCUUGCGCUCAUUGAGCGGCCGAUGCCUGAUUAGCUAGUUGGUGAGGUAAAGGCUUACCAAGGCGACGAUCAGUAGCUGGUCUGAGAGGACGACCAGCCACACUGGGACUGAGACACGGCCCAGACUCCUACGGGAGGCAGCAGUGGGGAAUUUUGGACAAUGGGGGAAACCCUGAUCCAGCCAUGCCGCGUGAGUGAAGAAGGCCUUCGGGUUGUAA
Molecule: ribosomal RNA, 399 nt
Filed under: uncultured bacterium
Lineage: Bacteria
Description: bacterial SSU rRNA
Rfam family: Bacterial small subunit ribosomal RNA
Source: RNAcentral